Magallana angulata is the source of this 473-nucleotide long non-coding RNA. RefSeq lists it as uncharacterized. NCBI's taxonomy places the organism in Eukaryota, Metazoa, Mollusca, Bivalvia, Ostreida, Ostreidae. The transcript is spliced from 3 exons. The record is from RefSeq and is a predicted model, not a curated record.
CAGAAACGACUGCAUUUACAAGAGGAAGAAUACGAUAAUCAAAAAAGCAAAAGAAUUGCAAGACAUGACAAAGUGUGAUGUAUUAGUAAUAAUAAGAAGUCCAUCAGGAAAUACCGCUACUUUUGCCUCGUCAUGUUUUGAAGAGACUUUAUCUACCGUGAUGCAAGGUAGCAGUUUGAACGGUAAAUCUAACACCUCUCAAGACCCCCCUUCGACUAAUGUUUCCGAACCUCUAUCUACAGACUUUUCUGCUAUCAUAACCUCCCCACCAUCUCCUAAUACUACUUCAAUUUCUUCUGCACCGUCCCCUUCUGUUAACUCCCUUCCAAAGCCUUCUUUCCCAUCUCCCAAACAAUCUAAGUUUUUCUAUUCUAAAAAUACCGUUCAAGCUCAGAUUCAUUCGGAAAACACAACUAUCUUUGAUUCUCCUGUCCGGGCCCCCACCAGAGAAACAUUAGUGAGUAGGAAAAGGA